AUACGGAGGAUGCAAGCGUUAUCCGGAUUUAUUGGGUUUAAAGGGUGCGCAGGCGGCCAUUUAAGUCAGCGGUUAAAUCGUGGGGCUCAACCCCAUUCUGCCGUUGAUACUGGGUGGCUUGAUUGCGGUCGAGGUUGGCGGAAUUCGUUGUGUAGCGGUGAAAUGCAUAGAUAUGACGAAGAACACCGAUUGCGUAGGCAGCUGACCAGACCGCAAAUGACGCUCAUGCACGAAAGUGCGGGGAUCGAACAGGAUUAGAUACCCUGGUAGUCCGCACAGUAAACGAUGAAUACUUGUUUUCGGCGAUAUAAUGUCGGAGGCAAAGCGAAAGCGAUAAGUAUUCCACCUGGGGAGUACGCCGGCAACGGUGAAACUCAAAUGAAUUGGCGGGG
RNAcentral lists this ribosomal RNA (392 nucleotides) under uncultured bacterium. Its description in RNAcentral is "partial 16S ribosomal RNA". It matches the Rfam family "Bacterial small subunit ribosomal RNA", at positions 523 to 918 of the family's 1533-position model. The record is from RNAcentral.